This 253-nucleotide ribosomal RNA is filed under the name uncultured bacterium. RNAcentral describes it as "partial 16S ribosomal RNA". It matches the Rfam family "Bacterial small subunit ribosomal RNA", at positions 524 to 776 of the family's 1533-position model. The record is from RNAcentral.
UACGGGGGGGGCAAGCGUUGUUCGGAAUUACUGGGCGUAAAGCGUGCGUAGACGGUUACAUAAGUCGGGUGUGAAAGCCCCGGGCUCAACCUGGGAAUUGCAUUCGAGACUGCGUAGCUAGGGUGCGGAAGAGGGAAGCGGAAUUUCCGGUGUAGCGGUGAAAUGCGUAGAUAUCGGAAGGAAGACCAGUGGCGAAGGCGGGUCUCUGGACAGUUCCUGACGCUGAGGCACGAAGGCCAGGGGAGCAAACGGG